AGCGAACGCUGGCGGCAGGCUUAACACAUGCAAGUCGAACGGUCCUUCGGGAUAGUGGCGGACGGGUGAGUAACACGUGGGAACGUACCCUUAGGUUCGGAACAACACAGGGAAACUUGUGCUAAUACCGGAUAAGCCCUUCGGGGGAAAGAUUUAUCGCCUUUGGAGCGACCCGCGUCUGAUUAGCUUGUUGGUGAGGUAAUGGCUCACCAGGGCUACGAUCAGUAGCUGGUCUGAGAGGAUGGCCAGCCACACUGGGACUGAGACACGACCCAGACUCCUACGGGAGGCAGCAGUGGGGAAUCUUGCGCAAUGGGCGAAAGCCUGACGCAGCCAUGCCGCGUGGAUGAUGAAGGUCUUAGGAUUGUAAAAUCCUUUCACCGGGGACGAUAAUGACGGUACCCGGAGAAGAAGCCCCGGCUAACUUCGUGCCAGCAGCCGCCGUAA
Molecule: ribosomal RNA, 447 nt
Filed under: uncultured bacterium
Lineage: Bacteria
Description: partial 16S ribosomal RNA
Rfam family: Bacterial small subunit ribosomal RNA
Source: RNAcentral